Molecule: small nucleolar RNA, 138 nt
Organism: Ornithorhynchus anatinus (platypus)
Lineage: Eukaryota; Metazoa; Chordata; Mammalia; Monotremata; Ornithorhynchidae
Source: RefSeq, a predicted model, not a curated record
CUCCUCUCAGAAUCGUACCUGGAGAGUUUCCGGUACUCUACAAGUCUUGGCUAUGGGAAGGGGAGUAAAGCAGAGGCAUAUCCAUUCCAUUCCUAGCUUGGCCAGUGGCUAGUAAGUGGAAGGCAAUCUGCUACACAU